GAUUUCUGGCUUGGUUCGCUCGACCCGCCACGGUUACGUGUGUGAGUGUCGGUGUGGAUCUGCCAUCACUUCUAGGUGACGUAGAUACUCUUCAUUGAGCCGUUUAUGUUUGUCUAGAUCUUUUACUUUGAAAAAAUUAGAGUGUUUCAAGCAGGCGUUUGCUAUGAAUACAUUAGCAUGGAAUAAUAAUUUAGGACUUCGGUUCUAUUUUGUUGGUUUCUAGGACUGAAGUAAUGAUUGAUAGGGAUAGUUGGGGGUGCUAGUAUUCAGCGGCCAGAGGUGAAAUUCUCGGAUUCGCUGAAGACUAACUUAUGCGAAAGCAUU
Molecule: ribosomal RNA, 324 nt
Filed under: uncultured Glissomonadida
Lineage: Eukaryota; Cercozoa; Glissomonadida
Description: SSU rRNA
Rfam family: Eukaryotic small subunit ribosomal RNA (bases 114-324)
Source: RNAcentral